CAUGCCGCGUGUGUGAAGAAGGCUUUCGGGUUGUAAAGCACUUUCAGUAAGGAGGAAAACCUUACGAUUAAUACUCGUGAGGCUUGACGUUACUUACAGAAGAAGCACCGGCUAACUCCGUGCCAGCAACUUCGGUGACUGAGCGGGCUGGCAAGGCGCAUA
RNAcentral lists this ribosomal RNA (162 nucleotides) under uncultured bacterium. RNAcentral describes it as "partial 16S ribosomal RNA". It matches the Rfam family "Bacterial small subunit ribosomal RNA", at positions 393 to 539 of the family's 1533-position model. The record is from RNAcentral.